GGUCCUUGAUGUGUAGGAUAGGUGGGAGGCUUUGAAGCGUGGACGCCAGUCUGCGUGGAGCCAACCUUGAAAUACCACCCUUUAAUGGCUGGUGUUCUAACGUAGACCCGUGAUCCGGGUUGCGGACAGUGUCUGGUGGGUAGUUUGACUGGGGCGGUCUCCUCCCAAAGAGUAACGGAGGAGCACGAAGGUUAGCUAAUCCUGGUCGGACAUCAGGAGGUUA
RNAcentral lists this ribosomal RNA (223 nucleotides) under Enterobacter ludwigii. Its description in RNAcentral is "partial 23S ribosomal RNA". It matches the Rfam family "Bacterial large subunit ribosomal RNA", at positions 2126 to 2348 of the family's 2925-position model. Lineage: Bacteria; Pseudomonadati; Pseudomonadota; Gammaproteobacteria; Enterobacterales; Enterobacteriaceae. The record is from RNAcentral.